GUUAGCGACCAUACCACGUAGAAAGCUCCGUAUCUCGUCCGAUCACCGAAGUUAAGCUACGUUGGGCCCGGUUAGUACUUGCAUGGGUGACCGGCUGGAAAUACCGAGGGUUGCUUACA
Non-coding RNA from Schistocephalus solidus, 119 nucleotides. The record is from Rfam. Lineage: Eukaryota; Metazoa; Platyhelminthes; Cestoda; Diphyllobothriidea; Diphyllobothriidae.